GACGGAGGGUGCAAACGUUGUUCGGAUUUACUGGGCGUAAAGCGCGUGUAGGCGGCUUUGCAAGUCGGAUGUGAAAGCCCACGGCUCAACCGUGGAAGUGCAUCCGAAACUGCAUGGCUGGAGUCUCGGAGAGGAAGGUGGAAUUCUUGGUGUAGAGGUGAAAUUCGUAGAUAUCAAGCAGAACACCUGCGGCGAAGGCGGCCUUCUGGACGAUGACUGACGCUGAGACGCGAAAGCGUGGGGAGCAAACAGG
This 253-nucleotide ribosomal RNA is filed under the name uncultured bacterium. RNAcentral's name for it is "partial 16S ribosomal RNA". It matches the Rfam family "Bacterial small subunit ribosomal RNA", at positions 524 to 776 of the family's 1533-position model. The record is from RNAcentral.